AAACGAGAAGCUCAGUACCAACCCCCAAUGAUUCCUUGUCGGACAACACAAAACAAUCAUUGGGAGUCAUUCUCGGCAGACGCAUCCAGCGGAGCCUAGCAGGGUCAAAAGCUUCCCACUCCAGUGGCUGGCAGGAGAAAUACACCCAAUGCUCCACCACACCAUUUCGUCGCCGCGCUCUAUAAAGUUCACUGCUCCUAAUUAAUGAGCGGAAGUUGUGGUUCAAAGAUGCUAUGGCGCCAUAAUCUGACCUCGAGCAACGAAUGAGAGAAUUGAUGGAGCUGUCACGGUCAAGGGCAGGAAAAAGUGUGUUCCUGUCAGAAUUAUCCCCAGCAUGAUCCCGUUUGUCAGUUUGCUCAGGAGGGGAUGCUGAAGAACUUCCCAAGGAUAGAGUCACUCCCACUAGGUUGGAACCGUCGGACUGCUUUUGCAACUUGCGUUGCACAUUUUCACCCUCCUGGUCAUAUUCCAAUGGCCUUUUGCCAUUCUGGACUUCAAUACUAUCAAGUCGAUAACUCAUGCAAACCGUCCCGUUACUUUCUGUCUGACAAUCCCUUGUAACCACCACACAGGACCGUUCUUCUGACAUAUCUUCCAGAUUCAACCCUAAAAUAAACACCAGUUCUGCUGCCUUGCUCUGGUAUGGAUCCUAGACCCUGUGACUUCCUGAUAAGACUGAUACAAAUUGAACAAAAUUAGUAAGGAACCAAAGAAAAACUCUUCCCACAAGGAGAAAGAAUCAUCAAAACUCAUAAAUUCACGUUGAAUCAAGAAAAUCACAAAUAGAUACAAUCAUCAAAACUCAUAAAUUCAGGUUAAAUCAAGAAACCACAGACAAAGAAAUUCUCAAUCACCAAAGCACAGAAACAGAAAUUUUUUUCACUAGUUUUGAUCAUUAAUUAAAGCAAACCAAGUAAUGCUCAAUGCCUUUUUAUGGAUAACAACAAUUCUGAUAACACAAAUGCCGGGAUUUGUCAGCAAACAAAGGGGAAAAAAUCCCACAAACAUCUAUGAACCCUCAUUGAUUCAAGCAAAAAAAAAAAACACCAAACAUCCAUGAAAUUCAAGCAAAAAAAAAAAACCACCACACAUCUAUGAACUCUCACUGAUUCAAGUUUGAAAAAAAUCAAGAAUCCAGAUCAAGUAAACUCCUUAGAAAAGAUUCAACAUUCAAUCCACCAAGUCCUUGAAAAACAAUCAAAUGAAAAAAACUCCUUAACCAAAAAAAACCCUCAAAAUCAAAUAAACAUGCAAGAAUCAUUAAAAAUUCAAACUUUACAACCCAAAAAAUGAAGAACCAAAAAAAAACCUCAAAAUCAGAACUUUAAAUCAAAUAAACAUGCAAGAAUCAAUAAAGAUUCAAACUUUACAACCCAAAAAAUCAAGAACUCAAAAAAAAAAAAACCUUAAAAUUAAAACUUUAAAUCAAAUAAACAAGCAAGAAUCAAUUAAGAUUCAAACAUUACAAAUCACAGAUCUCCAAAAUUCAGAUUAAACAACACCCUUUUGCUCAAAUUCACCAAACAUCAAUCAAUCAAGAACCAAAACUUCAAUCUUACAUUGUUUACCAAACUUCUAAAACACUUCAAAAGAAGACUUACAAAUUGGAUAAGAGAGAAAAAAAGAGAGCAACUUUGAUAUAUAGAGAGGAAAAGCAAAAAUUUAUAUCAAAAUUGCUUUCAUUUCUAUCGAUGCAAUCCUUUGUUUUUUUUCUUUCUUUUGUUCUUUCUGUUUAUCGGUUUGUACUUACUAUAAGGGCAGCUAAUUGUUUUUGUUUUUUUUUUAAAUAAAUAAAUAAAACUGGGGGGGUUCAACAAAGAAGAUCCUUUGGAUUCUAUCUGAAAAUCAAAGUUUUGGGCAUAACACAACACCUUUAUCUCACUACUGUACUUCUAGUUCUCAUUUCUGUCUCACUCUCUCUCUCUCUCUUACCAAAACUCUAUUCUAAUUGCAACUACUUAAAUAGAUUAAUCCGUGAACUAGAAAAACUAUAAGCAAUAUGUUGACCCUAAAACAGCUUAGAAAAACAUUUUGAUAUACCUUCUUAUGUCCCUAACCCAUCUUGGGAAAGGAACGGACGAAACCGCAAUAUGGGGAAUGUCAAAGUCUUCUCACAAGGCUCAUUUUUCGUAGUGGGUCAUAAGGUAGGCAGCUUUAUCUGAUCAAGGGCGGGGUCACACGGGUCCUGGAACUAUCCAGGUGGGAUGAACUCCGGAGGUGACCGUAAUGAGUAAAUCUCACUGCCGGGACUAAACGACGAGCAAACACUCGAAUGUGAGAAUGUGAGAGCAAGGGAUCACCCAACAAAUGGACGAGUAGCCGUCGAAAAACAAAAUCAUGAAUCUUGCAGCGCAUCAUUCCUCCAACCUAAAAUAACAUAAACAAAACCAUAAAGAAUCAAUAGAAAUAUUUCAAGUGAAAAGAAAAACAUGAUAAGAAAAAUAUCUUUUCAAAUUGCUUGUUCUACUGGCUACAAGUUAUCUUUGUCUUAGGCAAUCUUAUGUCAUAUGAUUUCUUCAUCUGUCUUGAAACUAAACUAAAGAAGAAGAUCAAGCAAGACUAAGAUAGAAAUUUAUACUUCCCCGUUCCUAAAUAAGUGAUUUUUUAGCUUGGGCACACCCUCUAAGAAAUUAUGCUUUCCUAGAAAACAAGAAGUAUUUUUACUAACUUGACCUUACAAAUACCUUGAAAAGGAUGUGUAACUCUUUAUUUAAAGAGGGGUAAAAUUGGAAGAACAUCAUUGUCUUCUUGAUUAUCUAAAAACACUACUUAUUUAGGAACAACAUGAAAAGGCUAAACAACCACUUAUUUAGAACGGGGGGAUUAUGUAAGUAGGCAUUUAAAUCAUAUAGUUAAAAAAAAUGGAAACAAGUAUCAAAAUCUAUUGUCUUUAUGAAAGGUUAAGCAUUUGCAUGCAAGAAAAAUUAAACCUCAAAAUUGGAGAAACACUAAUACCUACCUAGUUGCAGUUUUCGAUAAAUUUGAACACUCUUCUGCCUCAGCCAAACUGUAAUAUUUACAAUAACUGCAGUACAAGAAAACACUUAAUAUAGCAAAACGAUAAACAUAGAAGUUUUUAGCUAGAUGGAUUGAAAGAAAAACAGAAGAUGGCAUAAACAAUGUUCUUACAGAAGUAAAACUACUUUCAAUGCCUUUUCACCUUCUAGGCUCUAGUGGCAAAGGCUACAUUGUCUAUUCCUACAACCACCGAUAAGAUGAGUUCUGAGACAAAUAGAGUAUCAAGAAUCAAGAUGGUCUAAUUUUCCCUCAGCUCUAUUUCGGUUGAGGUAAUUCAUUUUGCACGCCCAAUAAUAUGUGCUCCAAUCGUGUCUGCAAACAUGGAGGUUUUAAAUUAUCAGUCAUACAAUCAUUAAUAACAAUAACAAUGAGAUGAAACUUCCAUCAUAUAAAGGAACGGUUACGUAAGAAGCGUGAUAACUGAACAUUUCCAAAAAAGUACCUAAAUGAAGCAAAAUUGAUAUAAAUUCACAAGGCCCCUCUCAUGGCCUAAGAAUAGUAGUCAACAUUAAUGUAUAAUCAAGAUAUAUAUAUAAAAAUUAUGUUUCACCUAGUGUUUUAACCUAGGCUGGGAUUUGAACCUAAGAUCUCAUGGUUCUAAACUCAUUUCAUUGACCACUAAAGCAUUUACCUAUAAACAAGAAUUGCUGAAAAGGUUAGAGAGAGAGAACCUAUCACUUCUCACUAGCAAUCAACCACUCACACCAAAAUGAAUAGCUCUCAGGAAAAUCUAACUCCACCAGCACCACCAGAUCCAAACACAGUAAAAAUAACUUCAAUGAACCUAAGCCACGCAGUAAAAAUAUGUUGCUAAAAACCAAAUCCCCAAACAAGCAUGAAUACGCAGCCACAAGAAGGGAACCAACCCAUGGACAUAUACAUCGAAGAACAACAAGAGGAAGUAGAAAGAGGCAAAGAAAUACUAGAUGUGAUGAUGGAAACAUUUCAGGAUAAUGAGGGCAGCAUAUACCUCUCUGAAGAAGGCCUUUUAUCAAAGUGUUUGGUGAAAGAAUACGCCAUCGAUAUCUAAUGAGGAAACUAUCCAUCAUGUGGAGACCAACUGAAGAUUUAACACUUAUUGAUUUGGGGCAUGAUUACUAUAUUGUCAAGUUCCUUAAAGAAGAAAAACUAAAAAGAACUCUUCAAGAUGGCCAUUGGUUUGUUAACGGAUUCUUUUUAUCCGGCCAGUAUUCCAAAGGUAAAGGCAACUGAAAUCACUCAACCAGAGAAAAUAUCAGAAGGGCAAAGCCAGGCCAACACAAAAACUCCCAUUCAAGAAACUCAAAUUGCAGUUCCGUGGCAAACAUUAUCGUUCACAAAGACGAAAAAAAAACAAGCGCCAAACAAAUGAUUCAAAAGAUGAUGACACAGGUAUCAGCGUUAAUCUCUUUGACGCCACUGCAGGUAAGUUUCUUGACUCAAAAAUCUUUAAGUACAACGAAAGGUUACUCAAUCAAACCACAGGAUCUUCCCAAAAGAAUGAUCCUAUGAGUAGUAAAGCCCAAAAAUUUGAAUCAAAAGGAAACUUCAUUGAAAGCAGCCCUUCGAAGGAGGACAGACCAACAGAACAAGACAUCAGCUCUAAUGACGUCAGCUUUCAACAGGGAAAAAUGGAAAUUCCAAUGGAUUACUCCCUACUUUAUCCACUACUUUCCCCCCUACGAAUAUAACGCUGUCCAGACUAAAAAUAUCACUGAUGUAACUGAUAAAAAUAAACCAGCUAAAAAUAUACAAACUUACUCUUAUAAAUUAAGUAAUACUAAUCCAAUAUAAAGGGAAGCCUUGCUGCACACUUUUCCUACCACACAAGUUGCUAGUCAUAGUACAGCUAGAAGCGAACAGGGUGAGGAAAAUAAAACCAUGACCCCUUCCACACACCCUAUUCCUAGACUCAACAGGAACAACUUUAGGAUUGGACAAUGCAUCAAGUAAUAAAACCAAACACAGCUUAAAAUAUUUCUAGUAGUGAGAUUCUAGAACCAUUCCUAUUCAAUUUAUUUCCGUCAUCUUACCUUUUAUACGGGAUAACAAAAAUGUAACCACCCUCUCAUUAAUUACUACACCGAAUUUGGUUGCCGUGCAUGAGCAAAACAAUCCUUCACCCCGUCAAUCACCAAAGAUAUUCCUAUACAAACUUCUACUAAUUCCACAGUAUUAAUAGAAUGUGUGAACUCCAACAAUACAGACAAAAAAAAAAGUAAAAAUUCUCCAAGCUCUAAUCUUGAUAUCACAUAGAGAGCUUGAGCUUCACCAAUUAUAUAGAGGCUCCUGCCAUAGGCCGCUCAACUGGUAUGGUUAUAAUGUGGAUGGAUGACCUACUUAAAGUUGAGGAGAUUACGACAACAGGACAGGAGAUUCAAGUGAGGAUACAUGAAUAUUCAAAUUGUAGUAAUAGGGUUCCAAUAAAAAUAGGUAGAACUCGGCCAAAUCUAACACCCCUCUUCUUCGCACAUGAUCUUACGCUUAUGGCAAAAGCAAACACCAAAAAUUGUCAUACUAUAUUAAUACUCUUGUAGACGUCAAUCGAUCUAGUGGCCAAAACAUCAAUUUUUCCACGACCAAAGUGAUUUUCAGCUCCAACUGUAAAUCAAUGUUAUCUCCAACCUGUCAUCCAUUUUAUCAAUCCAACCCCGUGAUAACUUUGGAAAAUAUCUUGGUUUUCCCAUCUUUCACAAAAGACCAACUCACAGUGCUUUUCAAUUCAUUAUAGAUAAUAUAAACUCUAAACGUACUGAUUAGAAGACGAAAUUUUUUAAUAUCGCUGAGCGCGCUACUUUUGCUAAAGUUUCCCUAAGUAGCAUACCAAACAAUGUAAUGCAAUACAUUAGUCUUCCACGUAAAACAACCAAAUAAAUCAAUAGGCUUCAGAGGAACUUUGUUUGGGGUACCACCAACACCAAAAAGAAACUUCAUCUUGUGAGUUGGGAUACCAUUACAAAACCUAAAUAUGAAGGAGGGCUCGUCAUGCAUAAAGCAGAAGUAAAAAAUAGUGUGAUGCAUGCUAGCCUUGCAUGGAGGGUUUUCAAGAAUCCUAGAACUCCAUGGGCUAAUGUCCUUAUCUCAAAAUAUUGUACUCCUAACAGAUCACCUAAAGCUAAUUCAUCAUCCACCUGGAAGUGUAUCCUUAAUGGUUGGAAAACAAGCAACAAUGCUAACUCCUGGGUUGCCGAUAAUAGUUGUUCAAUUAACUUUUGGCACGAUAUUUGGUUACCUUACCAUAAUACCAUUAGAAGCUGUAUUCUUUUUUUGGUGAAAAAAAGACAAUAAUUAGAAGUUGUAUUCAAGGUCCUCUAAAUCAUAAUGAGGAAAAUAUUAAGAUCAAAGACCUUUCCACAAUGGUGUUUAGAAUUUUAAUAGAUUAUCCCUCUCCUUACCCCAAUCUUUCAUUUUUUUUUUCACUACUAAAUACUUUGUGUCCAUAGUACAAGCUUCAUUAAUGAUUGACUCGUGUGGCAUCUAAAUCGAGAUGGUCCAACUAAAUCUGCUUACAAGCUCUUAAACUCCAAUAAGGACAUCAUUGUCCACAACAGUAACAAUAACUUCAACUAGAUUUGCAAGAUUAAGUUCUUCAUUUGGCUUCUCCACCAUAACAAAUUACCUACUAAUCAAUAUCUUAAUUCUAUUAGCCCGAAUAUUUCUCCUCUCGCAUCCCAGUAGAGAGCAGAACAAGGUAGCUGACCGAUUAGCCAAGGAAGGGGCCAAGAAGCAAUUACUUGAUCGCAGAUUCUUAGUUCCUCCGAUGUUUGCGAAUGAGGCAGUAUGAGCAGACUAACCCUCCACAUACUUAAAAUAUUCUAGAACUUUCAAGGUUCUAGAAUUCAACUUUAAUUAUUAACAUUUUUUGUGAAAACACCUUAACACAUAAUUACAGUUUAUAUACUUUGAAAAGUUUCAAUAUUUUUCUCUUCAAUCUUUUCCUAAAUCAGCUCCCUUUAUCGGCAACUUAAAGGAGAUGCUAAAGCUUCUUCAACAGCAAAAACUAUCAAAUACUGCUAAAGAGAUCUCUUAUUUUCUUUUAUAAGAACAACGAUUUCACGCUUCUCUCUCAUUCAUUCUCUGGUAAGUGAGAUCUGAUUAGUAUAGAAUAAUAUUCCAAUCAAAGCCCUAAAAUUCCAACCAAUUUAACUUUUAAUUGUCAUUUAAAUAAAAGAAAAAACAUUGAUAUCCAAAUUUUUCAAUAAGAAACAACAUAGUGUAGUAAUUCAUCACAAUAUUGCUAUUGCAUUCAAAUACCAACAAUACAUGAGUUAAAAUAAAAGCAAAAAAUAUUGUCGUGAAUUUGAUGAUAAGAGUUAAAAUCACAGAGUUGUAAAAGUGAUUGGCGUUGAAUUUGAGUACACCACCUGAUAUUGAAGAAGAAUACUUGCUGCUUUUCUUUGUUGUACCGCCACAUACUUACCAGGCAAUAUUGCCCAAUUCUAUUGAAGAAUAGUUGCUGCUUUUCUUUGUUGUAGCUGAACAUAUUUAUCAGGCAAUAUUGGCCAAUUUUAUGAUGAAAAUAAAUCUUAGCUUUAUAUUUUUCUUUCACCUGACAACAACUGUGAAGAAGAAAGAAAGAGUUUGGAUGUUUUUAAGAUUUGCAAUAAAACACUGGUUUGAAAUGACUCUUUUAACCUUGGUUGACCAUAACUGCUAUUUCCUCAUUAUGAAAGUUACUUUUUGAAAAAAAAAAAUAUUUAUAUCUCUGAACAUGUUGACACAAUUUACUUUUAGAACUUUAAUAUUAUCGAUAAUUAUUUACUCUAAAUAAUUUUUUACAUAAAUUAUAUUGCCCCUUUAAUAACUGAUAUAAUAAAAAAAAUAAAGCAUAUUUUUUAAAUAAAAUAAAUACUGAUGAAAUAUUUUAAUAAUUUUUAAUUAUUAUAUAUAAUUUAAUUUUACAUAAAAUAAAAAUGAUAAAUAAAAACAACGACUACCCCUUUCUCAUCUUCUUUAAGGCCUUUUCAUUUUCUUUAAACCCCACCACCCCCUUUCAUCUUCUCCUACACUCCCCCUCACCCCCGCCUUUUUCUUCGAAUUCAACAAACUUUCAUCCCCUUUCUUCUUCUUCGAAUCAUCUCCUUCUUUUUAAAAAAAAAAUAAAAUUCUAUUGUCCCCUUAAAAAAAAACUUCAUCUUAAUUCAAAAAAUCUUUAUUAUAAUUUUCAAAUAUGCAUUUUAGAAUACCCAUUUUCUUACCUAAAGAAGGAACCUUCAUCAUGAUUCAAAAAAAUAUUUAUUAUAAUUUUUAAAUAUACAAUUUAGAAUAUCCAUUUUUUUUCUAAAAUAAAAAAACGCUAUGGAAAGAGAAAUUAAAAGUAGCAAAAAAUGGUGAAGUGUUAAUGGAGAUUAAAAAAAAAGAGUUAAUUAAUAAAAAUUAAAUCAAUGAUUAAGGAUUAAGAAGUACUAAUGAAGGUUAGAAUUAGAAGAAUGGAAAGGUGGGUGGGUGGUGGGGUGGCUGGCGGCGGAUUGGGGUGGUGAUGGUGGUGGUUUGAAGAUUAAAAAGGGUGGGUCUGUUGAAGAACAAAGAAGAGGGGGAGGGUGCGAGGGAGGGGAAUAUAUUUUUUUAAUUAGAUAAACAUAUAUUAGUGAAAUUAUUUUUUAAAAUAAUUUUUUAUGUGGAUCUGACGUGGCCACGACGUGAGGUGAGUGUACUACACUCUCCAUUGUGAGAGUUGAAAUUAUAUUUUGGUGGUGGUAUACAAUUCAGACGAAAGUUAUUUUGGGGGGUAAAUAAUUACCGAUAAAGUUAAUGUGCUAAAAUAAAUUGUAACGACAAGUUCAGGUGAUAUUUAUGCUUUUUUUCCUUUCUUUUUUCCUUAAUUAAUUUUUGGUGUUUGAUCGAUAAGAAGAAAAUAUUGUUCCAAAAGUAUGUAGAUAUCAAUCUUGACUCGAAAUGCAAUACCCCCAACUCGGGGUUGAGGUCGGGAGUCUAGUCUAGAUUCAGAUUCGGGGCCAACGUUGUAACUCAGGUCGAGGUUAGACUUGAGGUGAGAUCCCAGUUCUGAGUCGAGACUCUCGUCCUGAAUUGGGGUUAGGAGUUUGGGUCCUAUGAUCUCGAGUUAGGGUUGGAGUUGGGAGUCAUUCACGAUCAAGUUUGGAUUCCGAGUUUGGAUUAAGGUCUAGUCCUUUGUCGGGAUUGGGUCUUGGGUCAAUGCUAGCAAGUGGAUCGAGGUCGGUUCUCGAGUCAGAAUCGAUAAUUGGACCUUGGGUCAGUAUUGGGAGUUAGGUGCAGAGUUGGUGGUUGGAAUUGGGAGUCGAGUCCCAUGUCAAGGUCUGGGUCAAGAAUUGAGUCACAUCCAAAAUUAAGAGUUGAGUCUAAGGUCGGGUGGUGCAGUUGAAAGAGUGUUGAAAUAUAAUUGUUACUUUAUGUAAGGGUACUCAUUUUCCUUAAAUUGAAGAAAAAUAAGUUUAUUUGAAAAAUAUUUUAAAAACAUUUAUGUCAAUCAAAUAUUAAAAAAUAUUUUCCUUUCAUACCAAACACAUUUAAAAAAUAUUUUCUUUUUUAACCAAACACAUUCUUAGUGUAAUUUUUUUGUAACAUAAUUGCUUGAAUUCAAAAUGACUAGUUAUCGUAUAAAUUCUAUAAAGAUAAGCAAUUAAAUUAAAGAUUUCAUAUAGUUAACUAUAUUUAAUUUGCACAUUCUUAUUAAAUUAAAGAUUUCAUAUAGUUAAAUAUAUUUAAUUUGCACAUUCUUACUCUAUCAUGUACAAACUGUAAUACACUUUUGGAUAUUAAUUUUCACAUUAUGCUAUUUUAUCGGUGCUUGUAUCCUACAUUGUUUCAUGUGUUAGCUCUAUGCUUGACCAAAACUAUCAACCAUAUUGGUAGCAGUUUGUCCAUAGAAAUUUUUUUCUGUUUUUUUUUAAAAUUAUCUUACUUUAGUAAAAAAAAAUAAAAAAUGAAAACACGAACCGUUUGACCAUGAAUUUUCCAACUCCAACUUCAAAAAAUUAUUUGAAAAAGUGAAAACAAAUUUUACUUGUGUUUAUUUUUUUUACUCAUACUUCUCCCACGAAAUUUCAAAAACAACUUUAAUAUAUAUUGAUGGUCAAACACAAUUCCAACUCCAACUCCAGAAAAAAAAAGUAAUUUUCAUGGUCAAACGAGGCCUUAAGAGCACUCACUCCGUUUUAAAAUAGUUGGUUUUUCUUGACGUGACAUUUUUCUUGAGAAAAUAUUUAUUAGAGAUUUAUUUUAUCAAAUUAGCCUUAUUUAUGCUUUGAAAAUAUAAAUCUAAGUAUAUAUACACUUUAUUUAGUCAUAAUGAUAGGAAUAGUAUUAGAUGAACAUAAUAAAAUCCUCUUAAUUUUAUUUAAAAAAUAACUAAAUUGAAAUACACAUUUCAGUAGAAGGGCCAACUAUUUUGAAACAUAUAUAACAUAUUUGAACAAACGUGUUGCUUCAAAUGCAGUCCAAUGUGAAAGAUGUUAGGCUCUACAUUUCGUUUAACGUUAUUUGCAAAAUACAAACAUAGCAUUUUUAUUAUUUUUUUGCUGCGAAUAUAGCAUGGUAGUAGCUUUGGAGUAAUGUGGCAAAUGCGAAUAAGGGUGGAUACUAAUUUGUCUUGAACCGAGGGUAAAUAUGAAAUAGCCUCUCUAUCUCAUCUCUAAGAUAAUACUUCCUUCGUCCCAUUUUAUCCGUCCUAAAUUGGAAUGACACAACUAUUAAGAAAAUAAUGAUUAAUAAUGUAACUUUACCAUUUUACCCCUCUUAAUUGUGUCUUAUUAUUAGUUCCAAUAUUGAUGAAUGACUAAUAACAAGGAAUAAUCAAUUACAGUAAGGGUAUAAUGAGGAAAAAAAAAUUGUCUUGUCUUGAUAAAUAAAAAGGAUAAGUAAAAUGGAACAUUAAAUUAGAAAAUUUAGGAUGAGUAAAAUGGGACGGAGAGAAUAAUACGGAUUGCGUACAUUUUAUUUUUUCAAGACUAUGUGAAAAUUCAAUGGGUGUAUUGUUGCUGUAUAUUUCAUUUCUACCAUGUAACUAAAUACUAGUAACACUUUAUUCUGUAACCAGAACAUGUGACGGGCAAAUGAAAAUCUCGAGAUUGCAUAAAAUUAGAUUCAAUAAAUAUUCAAAGUUAAUUAAGUGCUGGAAUUUAGAAUUUAUUGUUGUGGAAUCAAAGUUCACUAUGUAAAGUUUGCAUGAAGAUGACGUGUGAAUUUCUAGUACCCAUGCAAUAAUGUUUUAUUGGACCUUACGCGUUACGGAAUUAAAUUAAUCAGGAAUUUAAUGUGAAUGUGAAAAUAAAAGAUAGGAAAAAAGAUACUCUAUAAUACUUUUUAAAAUAAAUAGUCUAAAAAUUUGAUAUCUUUUCAAAAAAUAGUCAAUCGGAUAUACUAUUUUCGUUUUAUAGUCAUUUUCCAAUUUGGGUCAUUUUGGCCCACGUAGAGGUAGUCCAGAUACAAUUUUUAUUAUUUAGAAAUAAUAAUUAAAUAUAAUUAUAUAAAAACGAUAUAAUUGUUAUAUAGAAUAUAUAUCUAUAUAAGAUAUAUGUAUAGAAAUUCUAUAGUUCUAUCAAAUAUGUAUAUGUAUAAAAUAUAUAUAUAUAUAUAUAUAUAUAUAUUAUAUUAAAAAAAUAUAUAGAAAGUGUAUAAAAAUUAUAUAAUUGUUCUAUAAAAUGUGUGAACAAAUGUACAAUUAUUGUAUAAAUUGUGUACCGAAACUGUAUAAUUUUCGUAUAGAAUAUUUAUAUGUAUCAGAUAUGUAUAGAAAUUGUAUAGAAAGUGUAUAGAAACGGUAUAGAACAAGCUAACAAAUUGAAAUGACUAGAAAGUGAAAUUUAAAUGGGUAAAAUUCAUAAAUAGCAUACGUAAGACCAUAAUUAUGAGAUUCAUAACAACACUUUCAUAAUUAUUUAAACUAACAGCUUGUAUUUUGUAUUUGAAUAAACUGUUGCUAUAAAAAUACAUAUACAAAUCGUUUUACUGGCCAUAUUUAACUCAAAUCAGUUGAUUUAAAUAUGGUAUAAUAGCUAUGAAUUAAAUGUGGAGAUUCCUUUUCCAUUAAAAUCUCUUAAUUAACGUAAUUUUCGUUAUUUGUUACCAACCGAAAUAAAAAUUUAAAUUUCAGUUUCACAUUAUCGUUUUCAUUAAAAAAAAAAAUCAAAAUCAAAUUCAACUGAAGCAUCUUCCGCUCAAUAUCUUCAAAAAUUCAAAUUAAAACAUUACUAUUCUUGAAGGUAUUUAAUCUCAAUAUUAUUUUCUUAUAUGAAUUUCAUCAGUUGUUUGAAAUCGAUUAAAAAAUUUUCGUUCUAAAAUUUUUUUGAACCAUUACUAUUAUUUUGUUCAAAUUUUUUUUGAGUCAUUACUGAUGUUUCGUUCAAAUAUAGUGAUCAAAUCGAUUUUUCGUUAAAUUAUUUUUCAAUAUUUCGAGUCAUUAAUGAUUUUUCGUUUGAGUGAUCAAAAUCAAUUUUUCGUUACGUUGUACAAUUUUACAAUUUAUUUUGUUAAAUUAUUUUUGGAUAUUUUGUAAACAAAUUUUUUUUAAAAAAAAGUAAUGCAACAGUAAAUUGAACUGAUCGAACAAUAUAGUGAUCAAAACGAUUUUUCAAGCUGCUCAAACUCAAUUUUUUGGAGUUCUGAUUCUCGAAAUUUAAGAGAAUAUUUGUAUUUCCAUAAAGUUCAAUUUUAUAUAUUUUGAUUGUGUUCGAAUAUGGAUACUACAAAGCCAUCACUUCAGAAAAAUAUAUAUGAAAUUGGAUAUGUAUGUAUAAAAAUACAAAUGCUUCCAUAUACCUUAAAUGUAUGCUGAACAGAAUAAAAAUACAAAUAAAAGUGUAUAUGUAUUUAUAAAAAAUACAAAAUACUUCGAUGUAAUUUAAAUGUAUAUUUAGUCAGUUAAUUUGUAUAUAUGGCAAACCUAUAUGUACUGUAUUGAAAGAAAAUUUGAAAAUGUAUUUGUAUUUCAACAAAUACAAAUACGUCCAUAACCCCAACUGCAUAUUUAAACAAAAAGAAUACCCAAAUAUAUAUUUCAACAUUCCAAUAUACUGAAAAUACAUAAUAACCUCAAACUCAAAGUUGCUAAUGGUUUACAGAACAAAAUAAAAAAUAAAACAAAAAAUUGAGAAAUUGAUAACAUGCAAUAACUGAAUUUAUUAGUUACAUGAAAUUGAGGAACACUAUCCUUAUCACAUCGUGAAAAAAAUGUGAGAAAGGAAAAAAAUUGAAAAAAGAAUCUCAGAGAUUUCAAACAAUAAAAGGUAAAGUAAAAAUCAAUUAAAGAAAAGAAAAAAGAAUCUGAGAGAUUUGAAACAAUAAAAAGUAAAGUAAAAAUCAAUUAAAGAAAAGAAAAAGAGAAGUAGAGUGAAAAGGGGAACAAAGAGAAAGAGAAAUGGAGUGAAAAAGAGAACUUAUACAUGAUAACUUCUCAAAAGCAGGAAAUGGGGGACUACACUUAAAAUAAUGUUAUGUUUGCUACACAAUGAAAUUUCAUUAAAAUGUUGCUAUUUUUGAUAAUUUAAGUCUUUAAGUCUGUCUUGAAAAAAAAAAAGUCUUAAGUAUGUUACUUCUUAUAGUUUUUUCAAUUUAAAUUUCAGGGUCAUUUUCAUUGAAUUUUUUUAAUUUGAAGUGUCUUUUAUGUCCUUUCUCCUAAAAGAUACGUAUAACAACAACAACAACAAACCCAAUAUAUUUCCACAUAGUGGGGUCUGGGGGAGGGUAAAAUGUACGCAGUCCAUACCACUACCGCCGAAAAAGUAGGCUCAAGAAGAUACGUAUAACAAUGCUUGUAAAAAAAGUGACUGGUUCAGAUUUUUUAGCCUCACGCCAAUCCCAAACAUCCUUGGCAAAGAUUUGUAUUCAUUCAUUUCUAAUAAGACAUUUCAAAUUCGAGUACUGAGUAUAGAGAGUUGUUUUUGAUAGGGAGCGAUUAACCCCCAACGUAGAACUUUCCUUCGGGAUUAAUCAGUUCCAAAGUGGAUAUCCGAUACCGAGUACAAAAAAACAUACCCAGCAUAAUCCGACAAAGUGGGAACUGGAUAAUAAUGAGUGUCUAAUUUUCUUGCUCAACUCGACUGCAAACGCCAUAAUGUCCAAACAUCAUAUAAUUGAUGCAUACUUCAGUUUUCACAAAUAAAAACAAAUAAGCAAGCAGAACAACUGAUAAACAACGAAAACAGAAGUUGGAACAAAGUACUUCAUUUCCAAAGCUACCAAAUGUACUGAUACACAAGCCAAGAAAAUAAAGAUUUGAAACGCAGCAAAAAAAGAAGACUAGUACAUCACAUGUUGCCCCAGAAACCAAUUAUGUAGUGAUCGAUAAACAACACUACUACAGUACAACCAGCCAAAUUCCAUCUCUUCAGCAUCCCAUGACAGAACAGUUAUACACAAAGCUAUCUGAUUGCUUUUGGCCGAGCAAGUUCCAUUCUGGAGGUCCUUCCCUCGGUACCCACGAAUGCACCUCAAUAAAUCCUCGACCCAUAACCCUAGGCCCUCCAACUACAAUUAGCCUAUCACCACAUGCCCGAAAAGCCCAUCCCCAACCAUGAAUGGAAGAUACUCCUUCAGGCAGUCCACCAAUGGUAACCCAUGCUUUGUUAUGCUUUUCAUACUUCCUAACAGCCAUUUCAGCAUAGUCAGCAGCGUACAAUUGAUUAUCUACAACGGCUAGUAAUAGAGGCGCUGCAGAUGUAUCAGGUAUGUCAUUCUCAAGGUUAGGUUGCACAGGAGACAUGUUCGAAAUUUCGGUCCACGUUCCUGUUGCCAGAUCAUACUCUUCGGCACAUGUCAACAGCUUUGCGUCGGCUCCUCCAAUGGCUCCUAUCACGUAAAACUUUCCAUCCAUGAAUACACCAGAACACAUCUUACGUGGCUUAGUCAUGCUUCGCAAAGUCGUCCACGUGCCUGUCUCCGAAUUAUAAAGUUCAGCGGAGCUAAGGAUUUUACCUUGUGAGUCACAACCGCCAGCAAAAAUGGCGAUUUCCCCAAGGCUUGAUUUACCAAACAAACAUCGUGGCGCAUUCAUUUGCAUCCCAGUUGACCACGUAUUUGUCAGUAAACUGUACCGAUAAAUGACAUGGGCCAACACAUCCUUGCCACAAACAAGAAGCUCAGUACCAACCCCCAAUGAUUCCUUGUCGGACAACACAAAACAAUCAUUGGGAGUCAUUCUCGGCAGACGCAUCCAGCGGAGCCUAGCAAGGUCAAAAGCUUCCCACUCCAGCGGCUGGCAGGAGAAAUACACCCAAUGCUCCACCACACCAUUUCGUCGCCGCGCUCUAUAAAGUUCACUGCUCCUAAUUAAUGAGCGGAAGUUGCAGUUCAAAGAUG
RNAcentral lists this long non-coding RNA (15270 nucleotides) under Capsicum annuum. RNAcentral describes it as "long non-coding RNA (CANN_LNC017910)". The record is from RNAcentral. Lineage: Eukaryota; Viridiplantae; Streptophyta; Magnoliopsida; Solanales; Solanaceae.